This 72-nucleotide transfer RNA is filed under the name Bos taurus (domestic cattle). It matches the Rfam family "tRNA". Rfam says of the family: Transfer RNA (tRNA) molecules are approximately 80 nucleotides in length. The record is from Rfam by way of RNAcentral. Lineage: Eukaryota; Metazoa; Chordata; Mammalia; Artiodactyla; Bovidae. RNAcentral also lists the same sequence under 1 other name.
UCCCUGGUAGCUCAGUUGGUAAAGAAUCUGCCUGCAAUGCAGGAGACCCUGGUUUGAUUCCUGGUCCAGAAA